RNAcentral lists this ribosomal RNA (502 nucleotides) under uncultured bacterium. RNAcentral describes it as "bacterial SSU rRNA". It matches the Rfam family "Bacterial small subunit ribosomal RNA", at positions 30 to 528 of the family's 1533-position model. The record is from RNAcentral.
AUUGAACGCUGGCGGAAUGCUUUACACAUGCAAGUCGAACGGUAGAGGGGGCAACCCCUUGAGAGUGGCGAACGGGUGAGUAAUAUAUCGGAACGUGCCCAGUCGUGGGGAUAACGUAGCGAAAGUUACGCUAAUACCGCAUACGAUCUAAGGAUGAAAGCGGGGGAUCGCAAGACCUCGCGCGAUUGGAGCGGCCGAUAUCAGAUUAGGUAGUUGGUGGGGUAAAGGCUCACCAAGCCAACGAUCUGUAGCUGGUCUGAGAGGACGACCAGCCACACUGGAACUGAGACACGGUCCAGACUCCUACGGGAGGCAGCAGUGGGGAAUUUUGGACAAUGGACGCAAGUCUGAUCCAGCCAUUCCGCGUGCAGGAUGAAGGCCCUCGGGUUGUAAACUGCCUUUGUACGGAACGAAACGGUGAGCUCUAAUACAGUUUGCUAAUGACGGUACCGUAAGAAUAAGCACCGGCUAACUACGUGCCAGCAGCCGCGGUAAAGUGACU